This 273-nucleotide ribosomal RNA is filed under the name Triticum aestivum (bread wheat). Its description in RNAcentral is "partial small subunit ribosomal RNA". The record is from RNAcentral. Lineage: Eukaryota; Viridiplantae; Streptophyta; Magnoliopsida; Poales; Poaceae.
AUGUAUACCGGUUCCAACCUCACCUCAGAGAUAAGGAACUCUGAUUUGCUCCGCAGCAUACCACCUGAAUGUGUUCUUGAGGUAAUUCACUUUCACGGCAAUCAUCUCCUGACUCAUGGUUGCAACAGCCAUCAGCGCUUCUCUGAACAUUCCAGAGCAGCGGGGCACGCCUAAACCUUCCGCACGUGCCGCCAUCGCCCGGACGCGCUAUGGGUUAUUGCUAAGAAUCCACGUGUUCUUGCAGCACAGCUUGGUGAUAUCACAAUCACCUAG